CUCGUAGGCGGCCAACUAAGUCAGAUGUGAAAUCCCUCGGCUUAACCGGGGAACUGCGUCUGAUACUGGAUGGCUAGAGUGUGGGAGAGGGAUGCGGAAUUCCAGGUGUAGCGGUGAAAUGCGUAGAUAUCUGGAGGAACACCGGUGGCGAAGGCGGCAUCCUGGACCACGACUGACGCUGAGUGUAGCGAAAGCCAGGGGAGCAAACG
RNAcentral lists this ribosomal RNA (209 nucleotides) under uncultured bacterium. Its description in RNAcentral is "partial 16S ribosomal RNA". It matches the Rfam family "Bacterial small subunit ribosomal RNA", at positions 568 to 774 of the family's 1533-position model. The record is from RNAcentral.